AUUGCAAAGCAGAAAUCACUCUGACUCACUUUGUGUUUUCAUGGGAGUUGACCAGCUAUGAGUUCCGCUUCACUAUAAAAUGUAAUCUGGACACCGUGGAAAGAGCGGUAUAUUUGAUCUGGGACAUCUGCUUGGAAGGGUCUGCCUUCUCACUACUCUUAAUGUGCUCCUAGGAUCCAGGUGGCUGAGUGGAGAUCGGGAGGUGUGGGGACGGGAUAAUGUGGUGGGGCCCCUUUUCUGUAGGGGGGGGGGUGUGACGCCCUGCCCCUCUCUCUGCCUAUUGGUUGUGGGUGGAGAUUGGGAAAGGGCGUCAGGCCAAUUGGCCACACCUGUGGAUCCUAGGGAUCCAGAGAUUUAAGGGCUGGGUAGCCAUGUGUUGGGUCUCUCUUUUGCUGCUUCUAGGCUGGGCGCUGGGCUCAGUCUUCCACCCGCCAUGUGGUUUUAAGUAUCAUCCCUUUUGUUUAAAUAUAAUUGCUUAUGUUUACUUUAACGAGUAAAAACGGGUUACUAAUAAACUAGUUUCUCUUUAUAUCAUGUGUGGACUCCCUUUGUUUUGCCACUACCUGACCCGGUGUGUGACACUUAGUAGAGAGUGGAAGAAAGUGAGAUUUUGAAACUAUACAACCCAAGAAAAUCCUCUUUGCUCCUGACUUCCCUGUUUCUCCGCCGUUAAAGUGUUAUUCAUUCACAGGUAUGAUUGACAGGCAAGGUGGAAUACCCGAACCAAUCAGGGAAGCGAAGCCCUGUUUGGGCACAAAUGAGCCGGGAGUGGUCUAAGAUCAAAAUGGACUCAUACAGAUGCAUUUCACUCACUGAUAGCUGAGGCAUGGCUAUGCCAUUUCUCACAAAUGCGAAGUUGCAUAUCCAUGCAUCAGAUAAUGUCAUACUACAAUAUCCUGCACAAAUAUAUUUAAAGUUGAAUAAUGUCUAGUAAUGUAAUGUGGGGAAUGAAUGUGACAUAGUAGACACAAUAAAAAUGGUUGUACCUACCAUGUGCCAACACAGACUGAAAGCCAAUAGAAAAUGAUUCAUGUCAUGGUAAACUAACAACGGGUGACUCUGAACUUUCAUGAACGCACAUCGAGUGAUAAAGGGAAAUCUUUCUCCCAAGUGUUGAAAGAGAAAGUUGUAAAUAGGCUCCAUUUUACUGAGCCUUCCCAACCUUGAAAAAAUAAAACCGGUAUAUAUAACAAGUAAACCACAGACGCAAGCCGCUGUGGAUGAAAACAGGAACAUUGGCGUCACAUGCCUCGGCGCCCGAGGUCUUUGACAAGCCCAGCCACCCACCCAUGGAACUCCACACAAUGAUCCAUGGAAAGGGAGACAUUUCCUGUGUGCUGUAAUCGUUUGCUCCUAACUCUUUGGCUUGGGGGUAGUGUGCAGGCAGGCCACCAUAGUAUAUCACUGUUGUCCUACCCUAGAUGUUCAUUGUCUCAUAGUCCGUCUUUCCCAGAAUUCCUUGGCUGGACAUAGCCAGUGUGUAAUAACUCGCUGAAAACAACUGCAAUGAGAUAUGAUUUAUGAGUCAUCUGAAAGAAUGCCAUUCUUUUAUUAUUGGAGAAUGGAAUAACCUGAGGUUUAGUAGAAGUAGAUUGAAUUCGGAUAGGAUUAAUCUAUUGACUAAUCAUGUAACUCAUGUACAAAAUGUUCUUCAAUACUAAUUACAUUUAAUAGGCCAAAAUGUCAAAUGUUGAUAAAUAUAAAUAAAUAUCUCCAAGGAUUUUUGCAUGA
This is a long non-coding RNA of Gadus morhua (Atlantic cod), 1731 nucleotides long. RefSeq lists it as uncharacterized. The transcript is spliced from 2 exons. The record is from RefSeq and is a predicted model, not a curated record. Lineage: Eukaryota; Metazoa; Chordata; Actinopteri; Gadiformes; Gadidae.